CGCGCACAGCCCCGCGGAUCGAUCGGUGGCAGCGGCCGCCGCCGCCGCGAUGCCGGACGAGCAGCGGCUUUUGUGGGAGCCGUUGGCUGGUCGCCUGGUCCGCGACGCCCUGGCCGGCGCACGGACGCAGCUGAGGGCCGAGGCCCACCUCGCGGCGCGUCUGGUGGCCGCCGCGCUGUCCGCGGCCCUCGGACCUGCCCCGGCGGCUUCCCCGCUCCCGGCGGCCGAGCGACAGCCGCAGGACGCGGCGGAGGCGUCGCCGCCGACUCGCAGGCACCAAAGGACGUCUGCGGCGCCCCCGUGGAGCUUGUUGCCAGCCUGCUGCGCGGUCGUCUAGAGAGGACCAAUAUGGCGGCCCACGUUUCGUCGUCCUCGCUUGUGUUCCCGGCUGCUGUUUCCGAAGCCGCUGCUGUCGCUGUGCCUUCCUAGCGUCCGCUCCUCAAAGAUCCCAGGGUCGUCGUCACCGCCCAUCUCGGGCACCAUCCCCGCACUUUAGCCGAGCCUGCACAACAGACCUGUCACCGUGGAUACGUCACCGCCGCGGCAGCAGCAGGACCCGUGGUGCACCGCGCGCCCUGAUGCAAGAUUCCAAGCCACGCCGCUCCGCGAGCAGACGACGGCGCGCAACGCUCGAGCGCUGGCUUCCGAGACGACAGGCGCCGCCUCGCGGCAUGCAGCGAACGUGCGGGAAACAAAGGCGCCCAUUGAUGCUUCGAUGUGUGCAAGGCUCCCGAAAAUUAAUUUGGAUAGCGCAUAAAAAGUAUACAGACGCUUUGCGGUGAUGCGUACGGAUUGGCUAUAGCCAUCCGGGGCACUUAUGACCCCACACUUUCUUCUGACUAAUGUCUAUACAUACUUUCUGCAAACAACGUAUUCGAAGCACGGACCACAAUAGACCAAAUGAUAUGUAUUUAACGACUUCUCUCUAUAGGCAGCAUGUGUAGUUAGUUAUUCUCUAAAUCAAAAGGACUAGGACACAUAACAAGCCAGAGCUGCCUAUAUGAUGUCUACAGACAAUCUACAUUCUAUAGACUAAGUUUAUUUUUAUAUAGGCCAGGUGAAACGCCUCAUUAAUAUUCGAGUCAAUGCGUAUAGGUUUAACGUUUCUUUAGGAGAAAAAAAAAAGAAUGCAGCUGAUAUUGCGUUUAAUGCAGGUAUCUCUUAAUUCACAUAAAGUACAGGAGCGUUUCAAUACUGAUCAGGCGUUGCCUCCAUAUGUGGACGAUUUAUUAAUCCUCUUCGUUGGAAACCUUUUGCAAACACAAUUGUACAAACGUCGAGAGCUGUCUCUUCGACAAGAAACCGCGCUCCUAGAAUUGGACAUUUUAUCCCCGAGGUUGCCGGCACUUUAAGAAAAGGGUUAUGCGGGAGACCGAGCUAAUGGAAGGAGCGACUGCCUCGUUACAUUUCCGCUCCGGUCUUGUUGAUGCAUGACAGUGUCGAGCAACAGACCGUUCCCGAAAUGUUAUGUGAACCACUGCUCUUGCGUUGCGUCGCCCUGUUGAGGGCAACGAUGUGUUGUGCGACGUGCUCGCGGAGUCGGCGACUGCCGUUCUGCUGCCCGUGUAAAUAAAUGUAAAUAGAACUC
This 1588-nucleotide long non-coding RNA is filed under the name Dermacentor andersoni. Its description in RNAcentral is "uncharacterized LOC126526967". The record is from RNAcentral. Lineage: Eukaryota; Metazoa; Arthropoda; Arachnida; Ixodida; Ixodidae.